Molecule: ribosomal RNA, 208 nt
Filed under: uncultured bacterium
Lineage: Bacteria
Description: partial 16S ribosomal RNA
Rfam family: Bacterial small subunit ribosomal RNA
Source: RNAcentral
UACGUAGGGUGCGAGCGUUGUCCGGAAUUAUUGGGCGUAAAGGCGCUUGUAGGCGGUUUGUCGCGUCGGGAGUGAAAUCCACUGGCUUAACUGGUGGCUUGCUUUCGAUACGGGCAGACUGGAGGUAUGCAGGGGAGAACGGAAUUCCUGGUGUAGCGGUGAAAUGCGGCAGAUAUCAGGAGGAACACCGGGUGGCGAAGGCGGGUCU